This 220-nucleotide long non-coding RNA is filed under the name Elaeis guineensis (African oil palm). RNAcentral's name for it is "long non-coding RNA (EGUI_LNC002353)". Lineage: Eukaryota; Viridiplantae; Streptophyta; Magnoliopsida; Arecales; Arecaceae. The record is from RNAcentral.
GCCAGAAGCCUUAUCCUUGGCAAGACUGAAAAUGGAUCCUUUGAUUUCUUCCUCUGUAAAUAGUUUCUCCAGCUCCUAUAGGUCUGCUGCUUCAUGGGGAUAUAGAAUGUUCCAGUCAACCUCUAAGUCAGCUGGUUCACCUUCACUGAAAAGAGUUGAGUAGUAUCUUAGUGACAUAUCCUUUAUUUGAUCUUGGGAUUGAGCCAUUAAUCAAUACUUG